This 253-nucleotide ribosomal RNA is filed under the name uncultured bacterium. Its description in RNAcentral is "partial 16S ribosomal RNA". It matches the Rfam family "Bacterial small subunit ribosomal RNA", at positions 524 to 776 of the family's 1533-position model. The record is from RNAcentral.
UACGUAGGGUGUGAGCGUUAAUCGGAAUUACUGGGCGUAAAGUGUGCGCAGGCGGCCGAGCAAGUCGAGUGUGAAAGCCCCGGGCUUAACUUGGGAAUUGCGCUCGAAACUACUUGGCUGGAGUGUGGCAGAGGAAGGUGGAAUUCCACGUGUAGCGGUGAAAUGCGUAGAGAUGUGGAGGAACACCGAUGGCGAAGGCAGCCCCCUGGGUCAAGAUUGACGCUCAUGCACGAAAGCGUGGGGAGCAAACAGG